Molecule: ribosomal RNA, 522 nt
Filed under: uncultured bacterium
Lineage: Bacteria
Description: bacterial SSU rRNA
Rfam family: Bacterial small subunit ribosomal RNA
Source: RNAcentral
GAUAAACGCUGGCGGCGUGCUUCAGGCAUGCAAGUCGAACGGACCUUCGGGUCAGUGGCGGACGGGUGAGUAACACGUAAGCAACCUGCCCAGAAGUGGGGAAUAACCCACCGAAAGGUGAGCUAAUACCGCAUGUGAUGGAUCUUCCCUGGAGGGUUCAUUAAAGGCUUCGGUCGCUUCUGGAGGGGCUUGCGUUCGAUUAGCUAGUUGGUGGGGUAAUGGCCUACCAAGGCUGCGAUCGAUAGCUGGUCUGAGAGGACGGACAGCCACACGGGGACUGAGAUACGGCCCCGACUCCUACGGGAGGCAGCAGCUAGGAAUCUUGGGAAUGGGCGAAAGCCUGACCCAGCAACGCCGCGUGGGCGAUGAAGGCCUUCGGGUCGUAAAGCCCUUUUGAGGGGGACGAUGAUGACGGUACCCCUCGAAUAAGCCACGGCUAACUACGUGCCAGCAGCCGCGGUAAUACGUAGGUGGCAAGCGUUGUCCGGAUUUACUGGGCGUAAAGGGCGUGCAGGCGGUUUG